RNAcentral lists this ribosomal RNA (252 nucleotides) under uncultured bacterium. RNAcentral's name for it is "partial 16S ribosomal RNA". It matches the Rfam family "Bacterial small subunit ribosomal RNA", at positions 524 to 776 of the family's 1533-position model. The record is from RNAcentral.
UACGGAGGAUGCGAGCGUUAUCCGGAUUUAUUGGGUUUAAAGGGUGCGUAGGCGGGCUGUUAAGUCAGCGGUCAAAUGUCGGGGCUCAACCCCGGCCUGCCGUUGAAACUGGUGGCCUCGAGUGGGCGAGAAGUAUGCGGAAUGCGUGGUGUAGCGGCGAAAUGCAUAGAUAUCACGCAGAACUCCGAUUGCGAAGGCAGCAUACCGGCGCCCGACUGACGCUGAGGCACGAAAGCGUGGGUAUCGAACAGG